CCAGCAGCCGCGGUAAUUCCAGCUCCAGUAGCGUAUAUUAAAGUUGUUGCAGUUAAAAAGCUCGUAGUUGGACUUUGGAGACCCGCCGCCGGUCCGCCUGCGGGUGAGUACUGGCGGGACGGGCCUCUUCCGCCUGGCGAGCGUCGUCGGCUUAACUGUCGACGGCGGGACCCUGGCCUUUUACUUUGAAAAAAUCAGAGUGUUCCAAGCAGGCCUGUGCCUGAAUAGAUUAGCAUGGAAUAAUGAAAUAGGACUUUGGUUCUAUUUUGUUGGUUUCUAGGACCGAGGUAAUGAUUAAUAGGGAUAGUUGGGGGCAUUAAUAUUUAAUUGUCAGAGGUGAAAUU
RNAcentral lists this ribosomal RNA (344 nucleotides) under uncultured eukaryote. RNAcentral's name for it is "SSU rRNA". It matches the Rfam family "Eukaryotic small subunit ribosomal RNA", at positions 567 to 918 of the family's 1831-position model. The record is from RNAcentral.